Molecule: non-coding RNA, 99 nt
Organism: Fusarium poae
Lineage: Eukaryota; Fungi; Ascomycota; Sordariomycetes; Hypocreales; Nectriaceae
Source: Rfam
GCGGGUUUAGCUCAGUUGGGAGAGCGUCAGACUGAAGCCAAACUUCAAUCAUCAUUCAUUGAUAUCUGAAGGUCGUGUGUUCGAUCCACACAAACCGCA